RNAcentral lists this ribosomal RNA (253 nucleotides) under uncultured prokaryote. RNAcentral describes it as "partial 16S ribosomal RNA". It matches the Rfam family "Bacterial small subunit ribosomal RNA", at positions 524 to 776 of the family's 1533-position model. The record is from RNAcentral.
UACAGAGGGUGCAAGCGUUGUUCGGAAUCAUUGGGCGUAAAGGGCGCGUAGGCGGCGCCGUAAGUCAGGGGUGAAAUCCCGGAGCUCAACUCCGGAACUGCCCUUGAAACUGCAGUGCUAGAAUCCUGGAGAGGCGAGUGGAAUUCCGAGUGUAGAGGUGAAAUUCGUAGAUAUUCGGAAGAACACCAGUGGCGAAGGCGACUCGCUGGACAGGUAUUGACGCUGAGGCACGAAAGCGUGGGGAGCGAACAGG